UCGAGCCCCACUCUGCACAAACCGAAGUGCACAAGCAAGGGAGGCCAUGGUGAGAAGGUAAGAUUCUUACCCUUGCGGAGCACACGGCCCAUUUAUGCGGGAACUAGCGAAGGUUGCUGCAGUCCCUGGAGAUGAAGUGACCCGUGGGAAAGGCAGCCUGAGCCCCACAUUCUGCAAACACCAGUGCUGAAGGCACACCGGUUGCAUAUGUUCUUCCUCUCCGACUGACCAGCACCCGGAUCUCCUUGCCCACUGAAGAGCUGGCAGUGCCUGGGAAGCCAAAGAGCUGGCAGCACCUGGGAACUUCUGCAUUCCUGGGGCAAGCCCUUGAGCCGUCACUCAGGGAUGCAGCUAAACAAAUACUCCAGCUCCUUGCCCAGCUAGGACUGCCUCCCAGGGACCCAGGCAAGCCACAGUGGACGUGACAAUCCUUGUCUUGCCAUGUAUCGCACCCACUUCCCGUGGGUCCAGUCGACGCCAUCACAGGAGACCCGGUUCGGUUUCAAUCAGCUUUAAUUUCUUCUCGCAGGCGGUGUUAACAGAAAGAUUGCAGCUUGCACGCAGGCAAGUAUGAGUUACAGCUCUUCCAGUUUCUCUCUAAUUUCAUUCCUCUCGUCUCUGCAGGAUGGCUCACUAGCUUCUGGUUCUGCUUGCUUCUCUCCCACCUGGCUUCUCCUUUUUCCCUACUACUAACUACCGCUAUAUAUAUGUUUCCUAGACCAAUCAAAGGGGAGAGCAUGCGUGACCUUUAACUCUAUUGG
Molecule: long non-coding RNA, 761 nt
Organism: Manis javanica (Malayan pangolin)
Lineage: Eukaryota; Metazoa; Chordata; Mammalia; Pholidota; Manidae
Source: RefSeq, a predicted model, not a curated record